This 48-nucleotide transfer RNA is filed under the name Uroplatus cf. giganteus. Its description in RNAcentral is "tRNA-Trp". Lineage: Eukaryota; Metazoa; Chordata; Lepidosauria; Squamata; Gekkonidae. The record is from RNAcentral.
GAAACUUAGGUUAUUUUCAAACCAGGGGUCUUCAAAACCCCAAAAAGA